CUCUCCUCUUCGUUCUCAGAAUACAGUUCUCUUAAACCAGCCGUUUGGGGGGAAAUCCUUCAUCUAAUCGCUCAUUUUGGCCAAGGAUCCGUUUAAGAUCUGCAGCGACUGCUGACUGAAUGUGCAGGAUAACAAUAACAAGAGAGCAUCAGACGAUACAGAUACGAGAACUACGGCAGAAGAUUGAAACAAUGAUGAUGGAAAACAGAGGGGAAAUUAAACAAAUGAGGAGGAUACACAGCAUGGUCAGCAUUGUCAAUUUUUCAGGAGAGUCUCCAGAUGAGAUUGAUGUGAUCCCUGAGAGCAAAGACCAGACCAGACCGGUUCUGCUGGGAGAAACUGGAUCUGGGAAAAGUGCCACUGGAAACAGAAACCUGUUUGGAACUUGAGCCGGUUCAAACUCUUAAAUGAAACAGAGCAGCUCAGAUGCAUCUCAAUCAUUAAAAACAGCUAAGAAAAACCUAAAAUGCUUCAAAUGAAAAACAUAUGAGGUGCCUUAAUGUACUAAAACUGAUCUUACAGGUUCUAAAUCCGAAUAUUGAUGAUGCUUACUUUUUAAAGGUGAGCAGAUAUAUAGAAUAUAAAGUCAAGUCACCUUUAUUUGUAUAGCGCUUUAUACAAACUGAUUGUGUCAAAGCAGCUUUACAGUGUCAAACAGGAAAAGAGUUUGUCAGUGAUGAAAGAAGACAGUAACCAGCUCAAGUCAGUUCAUCGAUGAUCCUCCAGUUCUCUUCAGUAGUGUAUGUGUGAGAAACCAGACUCAGUUGGGGGUCAGUUCUCCUCUGGCCAGACAAAACAGCAUGAUGUGCUUUAAUUCCAGCCUGCAGCACAGGUGCAGCGGACUCGUCUGGGUCUUGUGUAAAAUAGUUCAGUGGUUUCUAUGAAUAUGUGUAACUGCUGUAGUUUCCUUUCUGAAGCAUGGAUCACCAGCAAACCCUGGAGGCUGUAAAACAUGUUAUUGGGGCCCGAGGAGAAACAGAAGAUGUGUGAAAUUCAGUAAGAAUAAUCAUUCAUGAUGCAUCAGAAGCUCAUUGAAGCUCUCACAGCUUCAGCUUGUUAACAUGAUUGUUUAAAAUAAUGAAGCUGAUAUAUUUUAUUUAGAUGAUUCAUGUA
Molecule: long non-coding RNA, 1113 nt
Organism: Cyprinus carpio (common carp)
Lineage: Eukaryota; Metazoa; Chordata; Actinopteri; Cypriniformes; Cyprinidae
Exons: 3
Source: RefSeq, a predicted model, not a curated record